AGCUCCAAUAGCGUAUAUUAAAGUUGUUGCGGUUAAAAAGCUCGUAGUUGGAUCUCGGCAGGCAGGGGGUGGUUCGCUCCUUAGCGCUACUGCCCCAUUUGCCUGUGUGAUUGGCAGAGGUUUCGGGGUGCCCUUUAUUGAGUGACCCGGAGCGCUGUCAGGUUUACUUUGAAAAAAUUAGAGUGCUCAAAGCAGGCUUUUACGCCUGAAUAUUCGUGCAUGGAAUAAUAGAAUAGGAAGUCGUUUCUAUUUUGUUGGUUUUCGGAAAUCGACUUAAUGAUUAAUAGGGACAGUCGGGGGCAUUUGUAUUCAAACGACAGAGGUGAAAUUCUUGGACCGUUUGAAGACAAACUACUGCGAAAGCAUUUGCCAAGAAUGUUU
RNAcentral lists this ribosomal RNA (381 nucleotides) under uncultured eukaryote. RNAcentral's name for it is "SSU rRNA". It matches the Rfam family "Eukaryotic small subunit ribosomal RNA", at positions 587 to 969 of the family's 1831-position model. The record is from RNAcentral.